This 89-nucleotide transfer RNA is filed under the name Candidatus Liptonbacteria bacterium RIFCSPLOWO2_01_FULL_53_13. Its description in RNAcentral is "tRNA-Ser". It matches the Rfam family "tRNA". Rfam says of the family: Transfer RNA (tRNA) molecules are approximately 80 nucleotides in length. Their secondary structure includes four short double-helical elements and three loops (D, anti-codon, and T loops). Lineage: Bacteria; Candidatus Liptoniibacteriota. The record is from RNAcentral.
GGAGACGUGGGUGAGCGGUUGAAACCGGCACGGUGCUAACGUGUUAGGGGUGUUAAAACCCCUCGGAGGUUCGAAUCCUCCCGUCUCCG